This 1316-nucleotide long non-coding RNA is filed under the name Capsicum annuum. RNAcentral's name for it is "long non-coding RNA (CANN_LNC010610)". The record is from RNAcentral. Lineage: Eukaryota; Viridiplantae; Streptophyta; Magnoliopsida; Solanales; Solanaceae.
UCAGCCGUAAGGGGUGAAUUUAAUCCACUUGAAAGUUGUUAAGGGGGGUAAAUAAACGGAAGUUAAGUUUAAGUGUUAAAGUGAAUUUGGAGGACAAGUUCAGGGGGGAAAAGAUGUAUUUUCUCAAAUUUAAAAAGAUAAAAUAAAAGAGUUGAAAAUAUAUUAUUUAUCUAACAAACUCACUCUUCAAGUUGUAGACAUGUAAUUCUGUUCCUCCGAGAUGUCAGUUUUUCUUAUUUAAUUGACCUUACCAUAUACCCUACCUCAUUUUAAUAAUUUUCCAGACAAUAAUAACCAAUUCUUAACAAAUAUAACAUCCCACCCAAUCAAAUUUAACCACCUCACUACCUGUUGCGUCUCUAUGCACACGCAAGUGUACGUGAUCGUGCAAGUAAUAUAAUGACUCGGACAGUCAGUUAUCGUUCCCUCGAGGAUCAAUAAACUAGAAAUUUAUUAAAUCUUCAGUUCAAGACAAUUGAGUAUUAAGUGUUUGGUUGUAUCAUGAUUAAGAUGAUUGUGUAAAUAAAAUGUAAAUUACUAAACAAGAAAUAAUUAAUGAUGACUAAAGCAAAGUAAGCAACGGUUGUAAUUAAUAAUGAGGACGAUUCCAAGGUUGAGGUAUUUUGAACAAUCAUACAAUUCUCUAUUUUUUUCACAGUCUAAUUAGUUAUCGGGUUGAUGGUUCGCAAGGGUUAUGCCACGAUCUUGUUCUCCCGACCUCAAAUCUUCUAUCUAUUGAAUGUUGUAACUACAACUCCCGCAGAGUUACAACAAAUCUUCUAGAUUCAUGAAGUUGUUUUCUUGCAAGUGAACCAAGCAAGGCUUCUAGAUAUAUCCCUAUCCUAGAUGCUAAUUCAAAUCCCUUAUUUUAUAAAAGAAUAAGAACCUUGCUCCUUAAUUUCUUCGUUCUAUCCUAUGAUUCUCCUCCCGGAUUCACAUAGAAAUAUAAAUUUAUUCUAAUGGUGGCCAAUCAUUAAAAUAGUAAGAUCAAAAAAUUAAGAACAACUCAUUUGAUAAUCCAAAAAGAAACUAUGAAUAAGAAUAGUAAAGAGUACUCAUGUUCUUAGCCACAACCCCAGAAAUAGGGUGUUUAGCUACUUAUGUUUGAAUUCAUCAUCCAAAAUAAGUAACAAAUCAUACCCAAAUCAAUCCUUCAAAUAAAGAAAUUCAAAAGAAUGUUUAAGAACCCUAAAAGAGAGAAAUUUCUGCUUUUUCGCCGCUGCUCUGCUUCACCAAAAAGUCCCUCACAUUAUCUUGAAUUUUUCCUUUUAUAGCUGGGACAAUACACUUAAAAUAUUCCCGAUUUGUCAGCCCGG